CGGGACGUGGCGCAGCCUGGUAGCGCAUCUGCUUUGGGAGCAGAGGGUCGCUGGUUCGAAUCCAGUCGUCCCGACCA
RNAcentral lists this transfer RNA (77 nucleotides) under Deltaproteobacteria bacterium RIFOXYD2_FULL_66_9. RNAcentral describes it as "tRNA-Pro". It matches the Rfam family "tRNA". From Rfam's summary of the family: Transfer RNA (tRNA) molecules are approximately 80 nucleotides in length. Their secondary structure includes four short double-helical elements and three loops (D, anti-codon, and T loops). Lineage: Bacteria; Deltaproteobacteria. RNAcentral also lists the same sequence under 12 other names. The record is from RNAcentral.